Molecule: ribosomal RNA, 1018 nt
Filed under: uncultured bacterium
Lineage: Bacteria
Description: bacterial SSU rRNA
Rfam family: Bacterial small subunit ribosomal RNA
Source: RNAcentral
GAGUUUGAUCCUGGCUCAGAUUGAACGCUGGCGGCAGGCCUAACACAUGCAAGUCGAGCGCGAAAGCACUUCGGUGUGAGUAAAGCGGCGGACGGGUGAGUAACGCGUAGGAAUCUACCUAGUAGUGGGGGACAACUCGGGGAAACUCGAGCUAAUACCGCAUACGCCCUACGGGGGAAAGCGGGGGACCUUCGGGCCUCGUGCUAUUAGAUGAGCCUGCGUUGGAUUAGCUAGUUGGUGGGGUAAAGGCCUACCAAGGCGACGAUCCAUAGCUGGUCUGAGAGGAUGAUCAGCCACACCGGGACUGAGACACGGCCCGGACUCCUACGGGAGGCAGCAGUGGGGAAUAUUGCGCAAUGGGCGAAAGCCUGACGCAGCCAUGCCGCGUGUGUGAAGAAGGCCUUCGGGUUGUAAAGCACUUUCAAUUGGGAGGAAAGGUUCACGGUUAAUAACCGUGAGCUGUGACGUUACCUUUAGAAGAAGCACCGGCUAACUCCGUGCCAGCAGCCGCGGUAAUACGGAGGGUGCAAGCGUUAAUCGGAAUUACUGGGCGUAAAGCGCGCGUAGGUGGUCUGUUAAGUCGGAUGUGAAAGCCCCGGGCUCAACCUGGGAACUGCAUCCGAUACUGGCAGACUAGAGUGCGGGAGAGGGAGGUAGAAUUCCACGUGUAGCGGUGAAAUGCGUAGAUAUGUGGAGGAAUACCAGUGGCGAAGGCGGCCUCCUGGCUCGACACUGACACUGAGGUGCGAAAGCGUGGGGAGCAGACAGGAUUAGAUACCCUGGUAGUCCACGCCGUAAACGAUGUCUACUAGCUGUAGGGGUACUUGAGACCUUUGUAGCGCAGCUAACGCAAUAAGUAGACCGCCUGGGGAGUACGGCCGCAAGGUUAAAACUCAAAUGAAUUUGACGGGGGCCCGCACAAGCAGUGGAGCAUGUGGUUUAAUUUCGAUGCAACGCGAAGAACCUUUACCAGGCCUUGACAUCCUCGGAACUUUCUANNAGAAUAAGAUUGGGUUGC